UCUGAGCGGUACAGCCCUCACAGUCGUGCCGCCACUCUGCCGUCGAGCGGGCGCCACACGCAGGCUGCCUCGCGCCCUAUCACGCGUCCUGUGACUCCCGCGCCGCCCCUGCCAAGCCUCCUGCAGCCCCGCACCGCACCCUCUGGUGACUCGGGGCGUGGAGGAAAAUACUGGAGGGAGAGAUACAGGUGGAGAGAAAAGCGGAGGAGGAGGAGGAAGAAGCAGUGGAGGAGGAAGAAGAAGAAGAAGUGGAGGAAAGAAACUACUGGAUUAACCACAAUUCUACCACAAUCUUCCCAAGUGUGGUGAAUGCUGAGAGGGGGGUGGUGGUGGUGGCGGCUCCCAGACUAGCGAGGGCGGAGGGGGAGGAGGAGGAGGAGGAGGAAGAGGAAGAAGGGGAGGAGGGCGGCGGCGAGAGGCGCCGCGCCAUGGAAGACUCCAGGGCCACGCUCCCCGAGGUGCUGAAGGUGGCCACGCCGCCCCGCCUGCCCCCCGCCCACGCCGCCGCCGCCACGGAGAGGCGCGCGUCCCCUGCCCGCCUCGCCGCUGAGCACGCCGCCGCCGCCGCCGCCGCCGCGGCCGAACAGCAGCGCCGCAUCCCGCCGUCUGGCGGCCUGCAGGGCGCCUGGCCUGAGCCGGCGGCCCUCGGGGUGGAGAGUGCCAGGGGGGAGGAGAAGGGUGCCGGGGGCGAGGUGGAGUGCCCCAGGGGCAGCCUGCCUCCCCCUGUGGACCGUGGGCGAGGCUUCCUUCCCGGCGGGAGGGGGGAGGCGGCCCGGUGUUGCCCUGAGAAGCCCCACACGCCGCCCGGUGACAGGAAGGACCUCAGCGGGCCGCCAGACGCCGCCGCGGAGGCCUGGCGGGUACCGCCGCGGCCCCGCGAGCACAAGAGCCUCGCCCCGCGGAGGGUGGAGAGUCCCCUGUCUCAGCUGAGCAAUCCUCGCCACGACGCCCACCUCGCCCACGCCAUCAGGGAGCUGCACGAGGAGGAGUUCGGCCUUGACGCCGUACUGCUGGCGGAGGGAGGCCACGUGGGCGCCCACUGCGCCGUGCUGGCCGCCGCCUCGCCCUUCCUCAAGAGUCUGCUGCUGCACGCCACCGACCACCCCGCCAUUAUCUCCGUCACAGACACCUCCCUGGAGGCUCUGCAGGCCCUGGUGACCUGCCUCUACACGGGCACCGUCCCUCACGGCGUCAGCCUCCAUCACCUCGCUGAGCUCGCCCGCCUGUUGAGGAUGGAUGACCUGAGCGCCGUGUUGCAGAAGGCCUUCCUGGCUCAGGGCGGGCCCCUGCUGGAGCUGAGCCGUCCCCAGGGCCCUCCUCCGCGCCCCCCGCACGCCUCGCACCUGGGCCACCCUGACUACCGGCGGGAGCGCUCCAGCAAGAAGGUCCGCAGCAGCCGCCUGGACGAGAUCCUGUACAGGAAGCUCAACGUGGACCACCUGGCGCCCUCAGACGCCCCAGACCCCUGCCCUGGCCCGCCCGCCGCUGCAGAGUGCCCCCGGGUGCCGGGGCUUGAUCCCCCGCGCGGGGCGGCGCCGGACCUGCGCGGUGGCAUUCUGGGGGAGCUGCUGACCAAGGCCGACCCGCUGCGGAGCAUGUUCGCGGCGGGCAGCUACGCGGCCUUCCCCGACCUGGACCUGGACGCGUCCCUCAAACCCCUCAACCUGUCCAAGGCGGGCAAGGCGCACGCCGCCUCCACCGCCGCCGACCUCUCCCCCUCGCAGGGCUGCCACACCAGCACGGCCUCCUGCAGCCUCAACUCCAGCCUGGCCUCGCAGACAGACCUCAGCCUGGGGGGCCUCUCCUCUCUGGCUCCCUCGCUACCCGCCGCCAUGACGGGCCUGCUGGCGCCCCUCACGCCCUCCAACAUGAUCUCACCCACGGCCCUCGCCACUCUCACCUCAUCCUCCAUGCUGGCCUCGCUCGGGGCGCAGCAGGCGCUAGCCAAGGCCUCCACCACUACCACCACCACCACCAGCAGUAGUACCAGUAGCAGCUCCAGCAAAAACCGCAAUGGUAGCAAAGGCAUUAUCAUCAGCGGCAGCAACAGCAGCGGCAGCAGCGCCCUCAGCAGCAGCCCGUCUAGUCAGCACGCCUUGCCGCUGCUGUACACCCUGAAGAGCGGCCUGCUGAGCCCCGAGGCAGCCAAGGAGGUGUACGAGCAGCUCAAGCUGCACCCACACCUGGCCUCCCUGUCAGGCCUCGACACCCUGCACGGCCUCUCCUCCCUUGGGGCCUCGGCGGGCCUGCACACCCUGGCCGGCCUGCACUCCCUCUCCUCCCCCCACUCUUUCCCCGCGCUCUUCCCCUUCCUGGCCCACGAGGGCGGCGUGUCGACCCUCGGCGCCAAGGACUCCCACGAGGCGCGGGGCGGCCACAGCCCCAGGGAGGGCAGCCCCGAGGACCAGGGGGCGCUGAACCUGAGCAGCACCGCCAACUCCAGUGGGGACUCCCCCAGACCUGCGGGGGGAGAGGAAAGAACCACCCCAGACUCUAGCACCCCCGCCGGCUACAACCCCCACGGUGAUGAGAGGGAAGGGGGCGAGGAGGCCAAGAGGCGCUCCCCCUCCCCAGAGGGCGCCCGCUACACCACCUGCCACACCCCCCACACCCCCCACCACCUUGCCAACAGCUUGAUGGAUUCUGGGCAAGGCGAGUGCCCGGGUGGGGGCGGCCCCCUGCCUCCUGACGGCCUCCACCCGGGGCUGACUCACCCCGGGGCCUCGCUGCCUCUGUUGCUGAUGAGCUCCGGGGCGGGGUUGGCAGGGCUGUCCCAGGCCCACCCAGACCUGCCCAAGACCGUGGACGUGUCCGUGGAGACCACGCCCAUCACCAAGCAGGAGCCGCCCCUCGUGUCGCUGGAUGACAACGAUGGUGAUGACAACGGCAUUGAGGUCAUCGAGGAGAUACCCUGCAACAGAAACACUCUCAUUCACGUCCGCAAGCCUUUCUACCACACCGGCAUCACCACGAUGGGGCGCAAGAGGAAGGGAUGCGGUGAGUGUGAGGGGUGUCAGGUGGUGGAGGAUUGUGGCCAGUGUCGGUUCUGCAGGGACAAGGCAAAGUUUGGAGGCCCUAAUCGUCUCAAGCAAGUGUGUGUCUACAAGCGCUGUGUCCUUGCCGAGAUGGAGCCUGAGGAUGCCAAAAAGAGGAGGAAGACUGCCGGCAAGAAGGGGCGAGGGAAGUGUGGAGGCUGUGACGGCUGCCAACGGACGCUAGAUUGUAAUGAGUGUUACGCCUGCCUACACAACGCCGCUGCCCAGCCUCCAGCGCGCCGCAAGGUGUGUGAGAUGCGAGUGUGUGAGCAGCAGCAGAUGGAGGAGGUGCGGGCAGCCCUGAGUGUGGCCGGUGAGCCGUCGCCAUACUCCACGGAUUCCCUGAUGGCGGAGACCUUUGGCAUCAGCACAUCGGGCGCCUCCAGCCCCACCCCGGAUGGCCAGGCCAGCACCCACAAUGACAAGAUGAAACUCAUGCGCAAGAUGCUGAAGAAAAAGUUUGCGCAGCCCUACAGCAGGGUAAGCCCCCCAAAGGUGCGGACCAAAUACUACUGUGGCGAGUGUCCCGGCUGCCAGACCACCGUGCCAUGUGGGAACUGUUUGUACUGCGAGGACAUGCCCAAGUUUGGCGGGCCGGGGAGGUACAGGCAGAAGUGUGUCAAGCAGCUGUGUGUGUACCACCCUCGCCUUCAGGCCCUCAAGCUCUCCAACCGCACCAGACUGACCUACGAUGAACAGCACAUAUCCCAGGAAACUCUCUCCCAGCUGGGCACCGUCAUCCCUGCCCCCAGUGACGAAGCCAUUGAUCUUGGGUGCGGGGACAGCCGGGAGCACCAGGAGGAGGUGGAGAGCCUGGAGGGGACGGAUCAGGCGGAUGAGGUGGAUGAUGUCACGGAAGGAGAGGACAGCAAUGCUACCAUCCAUGUGCUGGAUGAAGGAGAGAGCAAGGAGACCAAGGAGGAGCCUCACUUUGGGCCAGACCGCUGCUCCCCUCUCUCUCACUCCCGGCCACACCUCCCAGUGUCCUCCUCCUCCCAACUCAUCCACCACUCCCUUGCUGGCCUCCCUCACUCCUCUGUCCUCCCUGCCUCCUCGGUCCUCACUCCCGCAGCUGCUGUCUUGUCAUCUGCCGCUGCUGCCGUUCUCUCUUCUGCUGCCGCUGCCGCUGCCGCUGUCAUGCCUCCGUCGGCAUUCUCCUCUGCUGCCGCUGCUGCCGUCAUAUCAUCAGCAGCAGCCGCCAAAUCCACAUCAUCAAUUCUCUCAUCCGUUGUUGACAUUUCCGCUGUUGCUGCACGGUCACGCCUGCCGGGCCUCCCCCACCCUAGCAUCCUCCCCCACGGUGCUGUCCUGCCACCCGUCCUGCCCCCUGCCACCCUGCCCCCCACCACCCUGCCCCAUGUCACCCUGCCACACUCUGCCGCAGCACUGCUCCACACCGCCCCACUCUCCCACACUGGAGUCCUGCCACCCUCCACACCCUUGCCACACACCCAUGUCCUACCAUCCACCCCCACCCUGCCACUCCCGGCAGCCAUGAUAUCCACCCCCAGCCUGACAUCAACGGCAACACUCCCGUCUACUCCCAUCUUGUCCUCCACUGCACGCUUGUCCACUCCAACCAUCACUUCCACAGCACUCCCUGCCACUCCCACCCUGCCACUUACUGCAGCUCUCCUGGCCACCCCUACCCUCCCCCUGACAGCCACACUUCCUGCCGCUACCACCACCACCCUCCCAUCUUCUACUCCACCAGUGCCAGUUAUUUCUACUCCGUCAUCUUCUGUGGCACGCCCAUCUACUCCGACCCUGCCAUCCACUACAGCCCUCCCAGCCACACCAGCCCUCCCUCCCACUGCAGCCCUCCCAUCCACCCCCAUCCUCCCACUCACUCCCCUCAUGUAUCCAUCUAUCAAGCCCCCAACCACUUCUCUCCCUCCCACAGUCCCUCUCCCAUCACUCCUCCCUCCCACUCCACCCAUCUCCCUCAUAACACCACCCGCCGGAAUGCCACCCACCUUCCCAACUCUUAUCCGACGCUCCACUCCCACUCCACCUCCCAUGUCUCCCACUAACCACCCAGACAGCAGCACCAGCCCUGCCCCCUCCUCCUCCUCCACCACAACCACCACCACUGUCACCACUGCCUCCACCUUCCCCGUCUUCAACACCAUUGGCACUAACACCACUCCUGCCACUAGUGUUGUCCUGCCUGCCACUGUUCCUAUUGCUGUCACCACCACAACCACCACUAGCGUCUGUUCGCCCGUCUCACCACUGGCCACCACCACCACCACUGUCAUCACCAACCCAGUCUCUCCAAUUACCAAAGCUGCAACUCCACCACUAAAUGUCACCACUGCUACUACUACCACUACCACUUCACCACCACCACCACCACCACCACCACUUACUGAGAACCAAAACGACAGUCCAGCUUCCCCCACCACCACUGCUGCCGCCACUACCACCACUACAGCCAGCAGUCCCUCCCCACCACCUACCACCACAGCCACCACCACCACUACAGUUCUACCCUCCACCACAGUAUCAGAGAGCACCAGUAGAGCCACACCACCUCCAUCACCACCACCUACUGUCCCCACCACACCACCCUCCACCCCGCCCUCCACCAGCACUCCUGCCAAUCCACCCUCGCCUACCCUCAUGCCAGCACCAAAAGAAGUGGAAACAGCAGCAGUGAAUGAGACAGAGGGAAACGAGGAAAGGAACGACGAGGAAUAUGAGGGAGAGACCAUCGAUCUUACUGAGGGUUCCGACAUCCCUUCCCCUCCCUCCACCCCAUCGCCCCAGCCCAAGUCACGGGGUAGGAUGCAGUUCCGGGGCCAUGGGCGGGGCCAGGUGAAGAAUAACAAGACCAACACCACCAUAGAGACACGCCAACAGACAGCAGUGAGGAGGGGCAGCAGGAGAAGGACUACAAGAUUCAAACUAGACCCUGAUGACAAUUCUGAGCUUAUGUUUCCAGACUUUGAGGAGAUGCUGGAGGAACUGGAAGCAGGAGGGAGGAAGGAUACCAGCAGUGGGGGAGCAGCAGCACCAGUAGGAGCAGCACCACCAGCAGUAGCAGCAGCAGGUACCACUCACAAGGACUGCCGAGAGAAGAAGGCCCCACAAGACACCCCAAAGGACCCCCAAGUGAACAGAGUGGACACCUCGAGCCCCCUGGUCACCAUGAUGGGUGCACGGGCCCACCUGGGGCAGCGGGCCAAGCUGGCAUAUCCCGGCGUGGGGUGUCGGCCAGGCAAGAUGGUGAGCCGCGCACAGAACACCGAGCCAGACAUCUUUGAGUUCCAGGAGGGGCGGGAGUGUGUGGUAGAGGGGAAGGUGGAGGCGGGGGAGGCAGUGGCCCUCAAGCGUGCCGGCCCCUGCGCCUUCCCUGAGGAGGAGCUGAGUCAGGGCGGCCGUGAUGUGAAUGAGAAUGUUGGGGCCAUGAGUGAGGCCGCCUCGGCAUAGCAGUGAGAGGCCAGUGCCGCCGCCGCACCCCGGAAGUACAACCCCCACUCGCCCCCGGCCAGUGGUCCUAGAUGAUACUUGUACAGCACCACACGCCACACACACCCACGCCACCGCUGUGUGUGUGUGCGUGCGUGUGUGUGUGUGUUUGUGUGUGUGUAAGGUGUGCUGUAGGCUUAGAUGUUUGUGUCAAGACAGUGAGAGAGAGAGAGAGAGAGAGAGAACUGGGAAGAAAGACUUAUGGGUGGAGCUUGAGGGAGUGUUGAGUUGUACUGUGCUUAGUUGCUCUGUUACUCACUGAGAGAGAGAGAGAGAGAGAGAGAGAGAGAGAGAUAGAGAGAGAGAGAGAGAGAGAGAGAGAGAGAGUAAGUAGCAGUGAGACAUGCUUCCUUCUGGGGCCUCUAGUCCAUGUCCUGCCCCUAUGUGCCCCUGUAGUUGUCCCUGUGUCCCUUGCCUCCCCUGCCUCACCCACCACCACCACCACCACCACCCUGCUGCCGUCUGCCCGAGCAAGACACUAGUAUACGAGCUGCCGCCGCCGCAGUGUGGUGUGGGGCGCCUCUCGCUGGUUAUAUUUUUGUGGACGAAUGUUGUGGGAGUGUUGUUGGUCUUAGUGUGUGGCGCGGCGAUGUGUGAGGGAGGAGUGGGGAGGCAGUGACGCACACCACCACCACCACCGCCACCACCACUGCUAGAUUCAUGUUGACUUUUCCUGCUGCUGGGGUGGAGUGUCUGGUGAGGAUUAGGUUAUGGUGACCCCGGGUGUGUGUGUGUGUGUGUGUGUGUGUGUGUGUGUGAUGAAGAGAAGGAUGUAAAUUUUCUCGUUACCUGUUGUACCGCUGCUAUGUGUGUGUGUGUGUGUGUGUGUGUGUGUGUGUGUGUGUGUGUGUGUGUGUGUGUGUGUGCAUGCGUGCGUGUGCGUGCGUGUGUGUGUGUGUUUCCCUUAUAUGCCAGUUGUUUCCUACUAAGACAUCACUUGUGGUUUUUUUUUUUUUUUCUUUUGUAUUAUUUAUUUGUCUUGCAGUGAUGAGUGUCCUUGUGUUGAGUGCAGUGUUCCUCCCCACAUGCCUGCAAAGCUGUGUCACAUUUCAAAGACUGUGCAUGGGCCAUUACAACACACACAAUUACUCUGAGUUGUCUUGUCACAGCUGUUGUCACACUGGGAAGGAUAAAUCAGGAUACCAGUUACCAUUCAGCCACUCAUCUGCAAGCCUGAGUGAGUGACUGGUGGGGCAACUGCAAGCAUGAGACUGUGAUGGAUGUGUGUGAGGGUGAGGCAGUAAUAUCAACAGCCUCCUUGCCAUUCAUACACAGGCAGGAUGUUCUAAAGAGAUUUGUUGUGUUAGGCAUGGUGCUGAACAGACAGGCUUACUGUGGCAUGAAGUGUAUCCCUUUAGUCUCAUGCAGUGUUAGAAGAAUUAAUCUUUGUGAUGUUAACUCUAGGGAUUCCAUAGUGACGAGUAUUGCAGUGUUGCUAGCCAGACACAGUGACAGACUAACUAAACUUUUACUGCACAGGAAAAUAUCAAUCCUUCCAUUAUUUUUAGGCUCAAAGAAAAGGGUUAUUUUACCUUUUUUAAAUAGUUUUAAAAAUGCAUGAUUGGUGUAUUAUUUGUAUGAAGUGGACAGAGUGUUCUUUCUUUUGUUAUUGAGUGGUGUGUUGGUGUGAGUGUGUAAAGUGGUGUGACAAGGGGCUCUCUGGUGCCUGACACUGGCUGGCUGGCUGAAGGAUGUGCACUGUUACUCUGUGUGUGUAGGAGAAGAGUUUGAUCAGAAGAAUAAAUAGUGAUGUAAAUGAAAAAUGGUGUUCUGUUAUUUCAAAUUGAGGGUUAAGGUGGAUGAAUUAGUAGUUUUGCGUUGCAAAAUUACAAGUUUGACAAUAAUUGGCUUUUUGUCAGUAAAAAUGAGAAUGUGAGGGUUUCUGUUAAUCAUCUAUGUUGGACAAUGAAACCAUGUGAUUUUAUUCAUGUAGGUGGAUUUCUGCAGCAAAAUUACAGGAAUUAUGAGAGAAUAAAUGGCUUUUUAUUUAUUUUGUAGAAUGACAAAUUGUGACAAGACAAAUCAUUUUACCUGGCUAUUUACACUUCUAGUGAGACAAGAGGUGGUAACGAGAUCACAUUUCAUCCACUCUUUCCACCAUCAACCAGAGUGUAUCUCAUGUACUUAGAAAAAUACUCAACACACACACACACACACACACACACACACACACCAGUCUUCCCUAUACCCACACUGCUAAGAGAAGAGAACAUUACACCAGGCACUACCCAAGGAAACAGUUGAUAUACAGGAUGACUGGUAUGAAAGUGUUUCCCCGCGCGAGUACCCUGGGCGACCCGAUGAUGACCUGAGAAUGUAGCGGGACCGAGCCAGGCCGCGCGAGGCUCAGCAAAGCCCCUGCUAUAGCCACAAAUCCCCAGCCUUUCUGUAAUACUACACAACGUUGCCAAACAAUACCGCACAGUGUUCAGUGUAAGUUUCAUUAAAGCAAAUUGAAAAGA
RNAcentral lists this unclassified non-coding RNA (8971 nucleotides) under Portunus trituberculatus (swimming crab). RNAcentral describes it as "uncharacterized LOC123501815, transcript variant X6". Lineage: Eukaryota; Metazoa; Arthropoda; Malacostraca; Decapoda; Portunidae. The record is from RNAcentral.